Molecule: microRNA precursor, 98 nt
Filed under: Colobus angolensis palliatus
Lineage: Eukaryota; Metazoa; Chordata; Mammalia; Primates; Cercopithecidae
Description: miRNA (ENSCANG00000002531.1)
Source: RNAcentral
AGGCAGGAGAAUUGCUUGAACCCAGGAAGUGGAGGCUGCAGUGAGCGGAGAUCGCACCACUGCACUACAGCCUGGGUGACAGAGCGAGACUCCAUCUC